This 347-nucleotide unclassified non-coding RNA is filed under the name soil metagenome. RNAcentral's name for it is "partial contains 5.8S ribosomal RNA, internal transcribed spacer 2, and large subunit ribosomal RNA". The stretch from base 3 to 119 matches the Rfam family "5.8S ribosomal RNA", at positions 38 to 154 of the family's 154-position model. The record is from RNAcentral.
GAGAAGAACGCAGCGAAAUGCGAUAAGUAAUGUGAAUUGCAGAAUUCAGUGAAUCAUCGAGUCUUUGAACGCACAUUGCGCCCCCUGGUAUUCCGGGGGGCAUGCCUGUCCGAGCGUCAUUGCUGCCCUCAAGCACGGCUUGUGUGUUGGGCCCCCGUCCCCGGUUUCCCCCGGGGACGGGCCCGAAAGGCAGCGGCGGCACCGCGUCCGGUCCUCGAGCGUAUGGGGCUUUGUCACCCGCUCUGUAGGCCCGGCCGGCGCCAGCCGACACCCAACUUUAUUUCUAAGGUUGACCUCGGAUCAGGUAGGGAUACCCGCUGAACUUAAGCAUAUCAAUAAGCGGAGGA